AAUGAACGCUGGCGGCAGGCCUAACACAUGCAAGUCGAGCGAGGACUUCGGUCCUAGCGGCGGACGGGUGAGUAACGCGUGGGAACGUGCCCUUUGCUUCGGAAUAGCCCUGGGAAACUGGGAGUAAUACCGGAUGAGCCCUUUGGGGGAAAGAUUUAUCGGCGAAGGAUCGGCCCGCGUUGGAUUAGGUAGUUGGUGGGGUAAUGGCCUACCAAGCCGACGAUCCAUAGCUGGUUUGAGAGGAUGAUCAGCCACACUGGGACUGAGACACGGCCCAGACUCCUACGGGAGGCAGCAGUGGGGAAUCUUAGACAAUGGGGGAAACCCUGAUCGAGCCAUGCCGCGUGAGCGAUGAAGGCCUUAGGGUUGUAAAGCUCUUUCAGCUGGGAAGAUAAUGACGGUACCAGCAGAAGAAGCCCCGGCUAACUCCGUG
Molecule: ribosomal RNA, 433 nt
Filed under: uncultured bacterium
Lineage: Bacteria
Description: partial 16S ribosomal RNA
Rfam family: Bacterial small subunit ribosomal RNA
Source: RNAcentral